UCCGGAUCGUAAAACUCUGUUGUUAGUGGAAGAACAAGUGCCAUAGUAACUGAUGGCGCCUUGACGGUACCUAACCAGAAAGCCACGGCUAACUACGUGCCAGCAGCCGCGGUAAUACGUAGGUGGCAAGCGUUGUCCGGAAUUAUUGGGCGUAAAGCGCUCGCAGGCGGUUCUUUAAGUCUGAUGUGAAAUCUUACGGCUCAACCGUAAACGUGCAUUGGAAACUGGGGAACUUGAGUGCAGAAGAGGAGAGUGGAAUUCCACGUGUAGCGGUGAAAUGCGUAGAGAUGUGGAGGAACACCAGUGGCGAAGGCGACUCUCUGGUC
Molecule: ribosomal RNA, 326 nt
Filed under: uncultured bacterium
Lineage: Bacteria
Description: bacterial SSU rRNA
Rfam family: Bacterial small subunit ribosomal RNA
Source: RNAcentral